This is a small nuclear RNA of Dermacentor silvarum, 185 nucleotides long. RefSeq annotates it as U2 spliceosomal RNA. Lineage: Eukaryota; Metazoa; Arthropoda; Arachnida; Ixodida; Ixodidae. The record is from RefSeq and is a predicted model, not a curated record. The transcript has a single exon.
AUAGACAUGGUCGACGCGGCUCAAAGUGUAGUAUCUGUUCUUAUUAGCUUAAUAUCUGACACAGGUUGUAUUUGGACCCAAGAUAUGUAACUUAUUUUUGCCAGUUGGCGAAGUGCUUGAUGCCUACUUCACCUCCGCCGCGAGUCGGCCAGCAUUGCACGAUCUUCGGGAUCGGCCCGCGUUUU